RNAcentral lists this non-coding RNA (114 nucleotides) under Planococcus glaciei. Its description in RNAcentral is "Planomicrobium glaciei SAM-I sequence". It matches the Rfam family "SAM riboswitch aptamer (S box leader)". Rfam says of the family: The SAM riboswitch is found upstream of a number of genes which code for proteins involved in methionine or cysteine biosynthesis in Gram-positive bacteria. The SAM riboswitch acts at the level of transcription termination control. The predicted structure consists of a complex stem-loop region followed by a single stem loop terminator region. Lineage: Bacteria; Bacillati; Bacillota; Bacilli; Caryophanales; Caryophanaceae. The record is from RNAcentral.
UUCUUAUCCAGAGAAACCGAGGGACAGGCCCUAUGACGUUUCGGCAGCGGGUUCGCUACAUGCGAACACUGUGCUAAUUCCUGCAGAUGCUUUUUUGCAUCUGGAAGAUGAGAA